RNAcentral lists this ribosomal RNA (497 nucleotides) under uncultured bacterium. RNAcentral describes it as "partial 16S ribosomal RNA". It matches the Rfam family "Bacterial small subunit ribosomal RNA", at positions 28 to 507 of the family's 1533-position model. The record is from RNAcentral.
GACGAACGCUGGCGGCGUGCCUAAUACAUGCAAGUAGAACGCUGAAGAGAGGAGCUUGCUCUUCUUGGAUGAGUUGCGAACGGGUGAGUAACGCGUAGGUAACCUGCCUUGUAGCGGGGGAUAACUAUUGGAAACGAUAGCUAAUACCGCAUAACAAUGGAUGACACAUGUCAUUUAUUUGAAAGGGGCAAUUGCUCCACUACAAGAUGGACCUGCGUUGUAUUAGCUAGUAGGUGAGGUAACGGCUCACCUAGGCGAGGAUACAUAGCCGACCUGAGAGGGGGAUCGGCCACACUGGGACGGAGACACGGCCCAGACUCCUGCGGGUGGGAGCAGUAGGGAAUCUUCGGCAAAGGGGGCAAUCCUGACCGAGCAACGCCGGGUGAGUGAAGAAGGUUUUCGGAUCGUAAAGGUCAGUUAUAAGUCAAGGACGAGUGUCAGAGUUGAAAGUUAACAUUGUGACGGUAGCUUAACAGAAAGGGACGGCUAACUACGUG